ACCACUCAGAGACACUGAACUCUGAGCUGGGGCAGAACAGACACAUUUGUGCAGGACAUGUGCCACGUGCCUCCCCCCAGCCCUCUGUGUGUGCUCAUGGCCUUGGCCUUCUCUGGAUCCACUGUGGCCCAGAAAGUGACUCAAGUCCAACCAGCCACAAGCAGACAGGAGGGAGAAGCGGUCACCCUGGAUUGUUCAUAUGAAACAAGUCAGACCUUAUACCAUCUUUUUUGGUACAAGCAGCUUCCCGGUGGAGAGAUGAUUUUCCUUCUUCGUCAAAUUUCUUCUAGUCGAAAUGAAAAGAGUGGUCGCUAUUCUGUCUCCUUCCAGAGAUCAGCCAUGUCCAUCAGCCUCAUCAUUUCAGCCUUGCAGCUGGAAGAUUCAGCAAAGUAUUUCUGUGCUCUCUGGGAACUUACCCACAGUGCUUGA
Non-coding RNA from Nannospalax galili (Upper Galilee mountains blind mole rat), 429 nucleotides. Lineage: Eukaryota; Metazoa; Chordata; Mammalia; Rodentia; Spalacidae. The record is from the annotation of a RefSeq genome assembly.